UACGCAUCAAGCGAGUACUGUCGUAAAACCCGGAAGUGUUCUUGAUACGUGCUCGAUCUCGCCGUUUCACCGAGCAUGCAUCGGAGGUGGCUCGUGUGUACUUGCAACCGCUAUAAAUCCCAGGAUGCAUUUCGCACUCGCAGCAGUACGAUGGCGGACAAUAUGGAGAAGACGCACAACUGGACAAUUGAAGAAACAAGGGCCCUCAUCGAGUGGCGGGCGGCAAAUGAAGCUCGGUUCACUGGCCUCCGCAACUCCUCUGCUACGGGAUGGGAGGACUUAAUUUCCACUUCUGGCCUGGAUAUUUCCACCAAACAGGCCAUGAAGAAGUGGAACAAUCUGAAGCUCAAGUAAAAAUCGCUUAGGGACCCACCCACAGGCAGAGGGGUAGAGGCCGGUACAGCUACUGCCGCCACCUGGCAGUGGUAUGGUGCCAUGGAUGCUGCACUCCAGGGACAUCACUCCAUCUGUCCGCCCCUGGUUGUUGCAUCCAACAUGACUGCCACUACAGGUGGGGUAGUAAGCACACCGGCUUCUACCUCUUCUACUGAGGAGGCCGGGGGAAGCAGCAGCAGAAAGAGACCCAGGGACAGUCUGCUGGAGCUUUUGAGGGAGCAGGGAGAAAGGGACGAGGAGAGAGAGAGAGAGAGGCAGUGGCGAGAGAGGCAGAGAGGGAGAGGGCGGCAGCAGUCAGGGCUGAAUGGUACCUGUCCCUGUUUGAAAAGUGAAUCUCCAAGAUGUGAAUAAAUAUUAUUCUAAAUUCAUCUGCUCAUUCUUGAAAGCAAAAGUGUAUUUUUAUGUUACAUUUCACAUGC
Molecule: long non-coding RNA, 815 nt
Organism: Gadus morhua (Atlantic cod)
Lineage: Eukaryota; Metazoa; Chordata; Actinopteri; Gadiformes; Gadidae
Source: Ensembl